GAGCCCUGGGCAUCUGGGGACGAGGCCUGGCAUUUGCGGGACAGUGAGUGGCCCAGCCAGCAGCCAAGGAUGGGGUCUCCGCCACCCGGUUUACUUGAAAGUGUGGCUCUCAGCUCCACCCCGCCCAAAGCCUUUAGGCCCAAACAUGGCGGAGUAGCAGGGAUGGUUGCAGUAGGGGUAGGAAGAGCACAUGAUAGCUGAAAUGAGGCCCGAAGGAACUGUAUCUGGGGCCACUGAAGAAGGUGAACUGCAAGAAGGUGCGAGGAAGGCCAGGAUGCGCAACGGUGGGUCUGAGGACAGAGCGUAGGGGUGAGGUCAAAGGCCAGGCACCCACCCAGCGAGGAGAGCCGGGAGCCACGGUGCCAAGGACAGCCUCCCUGGAGGGCACCUAGUGGGCAGGGCUUCUGUACAUGAGGGACCACGGCUGACUCCACAAUGCGCACAAUUCCCAGGAGAGUUAGGGAUGAGUAGAGAGACGUGCGUGGGACCUGGCAGUGUCUGU
RNAcentral lists this long non-coding RNA (502 nucleotides) under Callithrix jacchus (white-tufted-ear marmoset). Its description in RNAcentral is "lncRNA (ENSCJAG00000057227.2)". Lineage: Eukaryota; Metazoa; Chordata; Mammalia; Primates; Cebidae. The record is from RNAcentral.